This 465-nucleotide ribosomal RNA is filed under the name Vreelandella stevensii. RNAcentral describes it as "partial 16S ribosomal RNA". It matches the Rfam family "Bacterial small subunit ribosomal RNA", at positions 338 to 795 of the family's 1533-position model. The record is from RNAcentral. Lineage: Bacteria; Pseudomonadati; Pseudomonadota; Gammaproteobacteria; Oceanospirillales; Halomonadaceae.
CCUACGGGUGGCAGCAGUGGGGAAUAUUGGACAAUGGGCGAAAGCCUGAUCCAGCGAUGCCGCGUGUGUGAAGAAGGCCUUCGGGUUGUAAAGCACUUUCAGUGGGGAAGAAAGCCUUGGGGCUAAUACCCUCGAGGAAGGACAUCACCCACAGAAGAAGCACCGGCUAACUCCGUGCCAGCAGCCGCGGUAAUACGGAGGGUGCGAGCGUUAAUCGGAAUUACUGGGCGUAAAGCGCGCGUAGGCGGUUUGAUAAGCCGGUUGUGAAAGCCCCGGGCUCAACCUGGGAACGGCAUCCGGAACUGUCAGGCUAGAGUGCAGGAGAGGAAGGUAGAAUUCCCGGUGUAGCGGUGAAAUGCGUAGAGAUCGGGAGGAAUACCAGUGGCGAAGGCGGCCUUCUGGACUGACACUGACGCUGAGGUGCGAAAGCGUGGGUAGCAAACAGGAUUAGAUACCCGAGUAGUC